CCAAAGAUAUUCUGAGUACAACCGUGGAACAACAGAGCCACUUCAGGUAAAGUUGUUACCUCAGUCGCAAAAUAGCAGCCUUUUCAUAACAAUUCUUUUCCUCGAAGACCUGUUUCGGUCGAAUGGUCGAUGCAUCUCACGCUGAUAUGAACAACUCUGUGUUUGGUACUCAGAUCUGAGAUCAGAUUCAGAACAAGUGAACUGCUCAUAAGUCAUAAGAGUGAGUUGUGAUUUUUCGUUGCUGUUCUGUUGUUCGUUAUUGUGUGCAAAUUGUAAUUUGGGGUAGCAGUGAAUAAUGUCAGAUAAAAGCAAA
Long non-coding RNA from Schistocerca gregaria, 313 nucleotides. RefSeq lists it as uncharacterized. The record is from RefSeq and is a predicted model, not a curated record. NCBI's taxonomy places the organism in Eukaryota, Metazoa, Arthropoda, Insecta, Orthoptera, Acrididae. The transcript has 2 exons.